CCCUUAGAUGUUCUGGGCUGCACGCGCGCUACACUGGUGCGUUCAGCGAGUUUAGCACCUUAACAGAUAUGUUUGGGUAAUCUUCUGAAAACGCACCGUGAUGGGGAUCGAUUAUUGUAAUUAUUAAUCGUCAACGAGGAAUUCCUAGUAAGUGUGAAUCAUCAGUUCGCGCUGAUUACGUCCCUGCCCUUUGUACACACCGCCCGUCGCUGCUACCGAUUGAGUGGUCCGGUGAAUUAUUCGGACCGGUGGACUGUGGGGAAACCCACGGCCUGCUGGGAAGUCUUGUGAACCUUAUCACUUAGAGGAAGCAGAAGUCGUAACA
RNAcentral lists this ribosomal RNA (325 nucleotides) under uncultured eukaryote. Its description in RNAcentral is "partial 18S ribosomal RNA". It matches the Rfam family "Eukaryotic small subunit ribosomal RNA", at positions 1470 to 1796 of the family's 1831-position model. The record is from RNAcentral.